CCCUUAGAUGUUCUGGGCUGCACGCGCGCUACAAUGGCGUUUUCAAAAAGAUUGCUAAUCCGAAAGGACCAGCGGAUCUUCGAAGUGGCGUCGUGAUCGGGACAGUUGAUUGCAAUUAUUCGACUCGAACGAGGAAUUCCUUGUAAUCGUGCGUCAUCAGCGCACGCUGAAUACGUCCCUGUUCUUUGUACACACCGCCCGUCGCUCCUACCGAUCGAGCGAUCCAAUGAAUGUUUCGGAGCGGAACUGAGAUGCUAAUGCGUCUCUUUUACGCGAAUUUUUGUGAAUUUGAUCGCUUAGAGGAAGGAGAAGUCGUAACA
RNAcentral lists this ribosomal RNA (320 nucleotides) under uncultured eukaryote. RNAcentral's name for it is "partial 18S ribosomal RNA". It matches the Rfam family "Eukaryotic small subunit ribosomal RNA", at positions 1470 to 1796 of the family's 1831-position model. The record is from RNAcentral.